UUUUGGGGCCUAUAAAUACAUGUUUACACCCCUUGGCCAAAGGACAAUCCCCCAUAUUCAUCAUUUUAUCACAACAAUUCGUCCAUACACACCCUAGGAAGCAAAACACCCCAAAAACACCAUUCUAGUGCCUAGAAAACAUAACAGCCACUCCACCUUCUUUCACCCUCUUUGCCUAGUUCUCCACCACCCUCCAACCCUCAAACACUCCUC
This 213-nucleotide long non-coding RNA is filed under the name Malus domestica (apple). RNAcentral describes it as "long non-coding RNA (MDOM_LNC010322)". Lineage: Eukaryota; Viridiplantae; Streptophyta; Magnoliopsida; Rosales; Rosaceae. The record is from RNAcentral.